Molecule: ribosomal RNA, 403 nt
Filed under: uncultured Eubacteriales bacterium
Lineage: Bacteria; Bacillati; Bacillota; Clostridia; Eubacteriales
Description: bacterial SSU rRNA
Rfam family: Bacterial small subunit ribosomal RNA
Source: RNAcentral
GGGGAAUAUUGCGCAAUGGGGGAAACCCUGACGCAGCAAUACCGCGUGAGUGAAGAAGGUUUUCGGAUCGUAAAGCUCUGUUAUUGGGGAAGAAAAAAAGACGGUACCCAAGAAGAAAGUCCCGGCUAACUACGUGCCAGCAGCCGCGGUAAUACGUAGGGGGCAAGCGUUAUCCGGAUUUACUGGGUGUAAAGGGAGCGUAGACGGCACUGCAAGUCUGGAGUGAAAGCCCGGGGCUCAACCCCGGGACUGCUUUGGAAACUGUGGUGCUAGAGUGCAGGAGAGGUAAGUGGAAUUCCUAGUGUAGCGGUGAAAUGCGUAGAUAUUAGGAGGAACACCAGUGGCGAAGGCGGCUUACUGGACUGUAACUGACGUUGAGGCUCGAAAGCGUGGGGAGCAAACA